GACGAACGCUGGCGGCGUGCUUAACACAUGCAAGUCGAACGAUGAACCCGGAGCUUGCUCCGGCGGAUUAGUGGCGAACGGGUGAGUAACACGUGAGUAACCUGCCCUUGACUCUGGGAUAAGCGUUGGAAACGACGUCUAAUACCGGAUACGAGCUGGGACCGCAUGGUCACUAGCUGGAAAGAAUUUCGGUCAAGGAUGGACUCGCGGCCUAUCAGUUAGUUGGUGAGGUAACGGCUCACCAAGACGACGACGGGUAGCCGGCCUGAGAGGGUGACCGGCCACACUGGGACUGAGACACGGCCCAGACUCCUACGGGAGGCAGCAGUGGGGAAUAUUGCACAAUGGGCGAAAGCCUGAUGCAGCAACGCCGCGUGAGGGACGACGGCCUUCGGGUUGUAAACCUCUUUUAGCAGGGAAGAAGCGAAAGUGACGGUACCUGCAGAAAAAGCACCGGCUAACUACGUGCCAGCAGCCGCGGUAAUACGUAGGGUGCAAGCGUUGUCCGGAAUUAUUGGGCGUAAAGAGCUCGUAGGCGGUUUGUCGCGUCUGCUGUGAAAACGCGAGGCUCAACCUCGCGCCUGCAGUGGGUACGGGCAAACUAGAGUGCGGUAGGGGAGAUUGGAAUUCCUGGUGUAGCGGUGGAAUGCGCAGAUAUCAGGAGGAACACCGAUGGCGAAGGCAGAUCUCUGGGCCGUAACUGACGCUGAGGAGCGAAAGCAUGGGGAGCGAACAGGAUUAGAUACCCUGGUAGUCCAUGCCGUAAACGUUGGGAACUAGAUGUAGGGACCAUUCCACGGUUUCUGUGUCGCAGCUAACGCAUUAAGUUCCCCGCCUGGGGAGUACGGCCGCAAGGCUAAAACUCAAAGGAAUUGACGGGGGCCCGCACAAGCGGCGGAGCAUGCGGAUUAAUUCGAUGCAACGCG
This 926-nucleotide ribosomal RNA is filed under the name Microcella alkaliphila. RNAcentral describes it as "bacterial SSU rRNA". It matches the Rfam family "Bacterial small subunit ribosomal RNA", at positions 28 to 963 of the family's 1533-position model. Lineage: Bacteria; Bacillati; Actinomycetota; Actinomycetes; Micrococcales; Microbacteriaceae. The record is from RNAcentral.